CCCGCUGAACUUAAGCAUAUCAAUAAGCGGAGGAAAAGAAACUAACAAGGAUUCCCCUAGUAACUGCGAGUGAAGCGGGAAAAGCUCAAAUUUAAAAUCUGGCAGUCUCUGGCUGUCCGAGUUGUAAUCUAGAGAAGCAUUAUCCGCGCUGGACCGUGUACAAGUCUCCUGGAAUGGAGCGUCAUAGAGGGUGAGAAUCCCGUCUUUGACACGGACUGCCAGGGCUUUGUGAUGUGCUCUCAAAGAGUCGAGUUGUUUGGGAAUGCAGCUCAAAAUGGGUGGUAAAUUCCAUCUAAAGCUAAAUAUUGGCGAGAGACCGAUAGCGAACAAGUACCGUGAGGGAAAGAUGAAAAGAACUUUGGAAAGAGAGUUAAACAGUACGUGAAAUUGCUGAAAGGGAAACGCUUGAAGUCAGUCACGUUGGCCAGGAAUCAACCUUGCUUCUGCUUGGUGUACUUUCUGGUUGAUGGGUCAGCAUCAAUUUUGACCAUUGGAAAAAGGUCUAGGGAAUGUGGCAUCUUUGGAUGUGUUAUAGCCCUUUGUUGCAUACAAUGGUUGGGAUUGAGGACCUCAGCACGCCUUCAUGCCCGGUUUUUACCCACGUACGUGCUUAGGAUGUUGGCAUAAUGGCUUUAAUCGACCCGUCUUGAAACACGG
This 657-nucleotide ribosomal RNA is filed under the name uncultured fungus. RNAcentral's name for it is "eukaryotic LSU rRNA". It matches the Rfam family "Eukaryotic large subunit ribosomal RNA", at positions 24 to 664 of the family's 3401-position model. The record is from RNAcentral. Lineage: Eukaryota; Fungi.